Molecule: transfer RNA, 69 nt
Filed under: bovine gut metagenome
Rfam family: tRNA
About the family: Transfer RNA (tRNA) molecules are approximately 80 nucleotides in length. Their secondary structure includes four short double-helical elements and three loops (D, anti-codon, and T loops). Further hydrogen bonds mediate the characteristic L-shaped molecular structure. tRNAs have two regions of fundamental functional importance: the anti-codon, which is responsible for specific mRNA codon recognition, and the 3' end, to which the tRNAs corresponding amino acid is attached (by aminoacyl-tRNA synthetases). tRNAs cope with the degeneracy of the genetic code in two manners: having more than one tRNA (with a specific anti-codon) for a particular amino acid; and 'wobble' base-pairing, i.e. permitting non-standard base-pairing at the 3rd anti-codon position.
Source: RNAcentral
GCUAUGUAGUUCAGUUGGUUAGAAUGCCAGCCUGUCACGCUGGAGGUCGCUGGUUCAACCCCCGCCAUA